This 301-nucleotide ribosomal RNA is filed under the name uncultured bacterium. RNAcentral describes it as "partial 16S ribosomal RNA". It matches the Rfam family "Bacterial small subunit ribosomal RNA", at positions 509 to 807 of the family's 1533-position model. The record is from RNAcentral.
CAGUCGCCACGGGAACACGGAGGGUGCAAGCGUUAAUCGGAAUUACUGGGCGUAAAGCGCACGCAGGCGGUCUGACAAGUCAGAUGUGAAAUCCCCGGGCUUAACCUGGGAACUGCAUUUGAAACUGUCAGGCUGGAGUCUUGUAGAGGGGGGUAGAAUUCCAGGUGUAGCGGUGAAAUGCGUAGAGAUCUGGAGGAAUACCGGUGGCGAAGGCGGCCCCCUGGACAAAGACUGACGCUCAGGUGCGAAAGCGUGGGGAGCAAACAGGAUUAGAUACCCCAGUAGUCCCUGUCUCUUAUAC